This 27-nucleotide non-coding RNA is filed under the name Bombyx mori (domestic silkworm). Lineage: Eukaryota; Metazoa; Arthropoda; Insecta; Lepidoptera; Bombycidae. The record is from RNAcentral.
GACAUGAUGGCUUUCUGUACUUCUUGC